RNAcentral lists this ribosomal RNA (250 nucleotides) under uncultured prokaryote. Its description in RNAcentral is "partial 16S rRNA". It matches the Rfam family "Bacterial small subunit ribosomal RNA", at positions 525 to 775 of the family's 1533-position model. The record is from RNAcentral.
ACGUAGGGGGCAAGCGUUAUCCGGAAUUAUUGGGCGUAAAGGGUGCGUAGGUGGUUGGGGAAGCGUGAGGUGAAAGGCAAGAGCUUAAGUAUUGUAAGCCUUGCUAACUGGAAGACUUGAGUGCAGGAGAGGAAAGUGGAAUUUCUAGUGUAGCGGUGAAAUGCGUAGAUAUUAGGAGGAACACCAGUGGCGAAGGCGACUUACUGGACUGUAACUGACACUGAGGCGCGAAAGCGUGGAGAGCAAACAG